This 406-nucleotide ribosomal RNA is filed under the name uncultured bacterium. RNAcentral's name for it is "partial 16S ribosomal RNA". It matches the Rfam family "Bacterial small subunit ribosomal RNA", at positions 30 to 526 of the family's 1533-position model. The record is from RNAcentral.
AUUGAACGCUGACAGAAUGCUUAACACAUCAGCAAUUGAUUGGUGGCGGACGGGUGAGUAACGCGUAAAUAACUUGCCUCACAGCUAGGGGCAACAUUUGUAAACGAAUGCUAAUACCUAAUCCUGUGAGAGAGCUUUGCGUCCCAUUAGCAAGUUGGAGAGGUAACGGCUCACCAAGGCGAGGAUGGGUAGCCGGCCUGAGAGGGUGAUCGGCCACAAGGGGACUUGGACACGGCCCUUAGUCCUAAGGGAGGCAGCAGUGGGGAAUAUUGGACAAUGGACCAAAGUCUGAUCCAGCAAUUCUGUGUGCAAGAGGAAGUUGUCGGAAGGUAAAGGGCUUUCAGUUGGGAAGCGGUACCAACAGAAGAAGUGACGGCUAAAUACGUGCCAGCAGCCGCGGUAAUUC